GGAGCAUCCGCUUCCGGUUCCCAGACUGAGCUGGCGGUGAGUGGAGUCUGAGGUCGCUGUGGACUGCCCACUGGAUUGAGAAAAAUGAGGUCCUCUUUCUAGAGUACCUGGCAGGUUGCUUGGCAUCCAGAAGAUGUUUAGCUAAGGCCUUGCCCGAGAUGGACAGCCGUAUUCCUUAUGAUGACUACCCGGUGGUUUUCUUGCCUGCCUAUGAGAAUCCUCCAGCAUGGAUUCCUCCUCAUGAGAGGGUACACCACCCAGACUACAACAAUGAGUUGACCCAGUUUCUGCCCCGAACCAUCACACUGAAGAAGCCUCCUGGAGCUCAGUUGGGAUUUAACAUCCGAGGAGGAAAGGCCUCCCAGCUAGGCAUCUUCAUCUCCAAGGUGAUUCCUGACUCUGAUGCACAUAGAGCAGGACUUCAGGAAGGGGACCAAGUUCUAGCUGUGAAUGAUGUGGAUUUCCAAGAUAUUGAGCACAGCAAGGCUGUUGAGAUCCUGAAGACAGCUCGUGAAAUCAGCAUGCGUGUGCGCUUCUUUCCCUACACCUCCAGGCCAAAGCCUCCGGCCUCCAUCCAGGCCUCGUCGUGACCAAAGGCAGAUAUCGCUUCAGGCAAACUGCUAGUCUCCAAUUCAUGAGAUCAGAAUGGUUUGGACCCCAGCCCUCAGGACAACCGUUCCUGUGAGUUCCACCUGGUCACUCACCAUGAGAUGGCUUCGGAUGGAUCAGGACCAAGGGUAGCUCCACACCAACAUCGCUGCAAGGAUCCCAAGGCAUUAUUGAGCUUGCUGCAGGUCCUUAGGCCUGGAGGAGUCUCUGAACACUGCCCUAAAGACACUUUAAGAAACAGAAAAGUUUGCUGACCCCUGCCCUAGAUCAAAGAAGGUAAGUCAGAGGGGACUCAGAACCGGGCGUCACUGGUGGUGAUGAUGCUAUGGAGGUUAGAAGUGGGGCUAUUUCUGUCAUGAGAGCAGGAUCUGUUUCCUGGCAGAGGCUGGAGGCAGGGAUUUUUGGGGACAACCAAAGAAUACCUCUUGGAGACUGUCUCCUCCGGGUUUUCAGCACAGAAACUCUUCACUUCAAAGUCAAUCCCACAGGGCUGUAAAGGGACAAGGGCAAAGAGAGCUCAUUUCUAGUGCUGUCCUCCCUUCCUCAUGGGCCAAUAAGAAAAUGCCUGACCUCUUUCCUUAGCUGUCCAUUUCUCCAGUCUUGACUGUCCCACUGUUCCUCUUCCCUGGCACUACCUAUCCCUCUUUCUUAGAACCCAGUCCUCACCUUUCCUGCAUCUUCAGGACCUGGCUGCAGUGUCACAGAACAGGGCAGGUUGGUCACCAUCUAGGGGACAAAAAGGAGAUCAGAAAAGAAGUAGAAAAGAAUACAAACAAAUACAAAAGGAAUAGGGAACCCUCUCCCUUGUUGUCCUUCUUGAGCUUCCUUUCUUAAUCUUCCCUGGAGACCUUGCCUGCCCAGGGCUUGGGGUCAGUACCUGCAGGGUAAAGGGGUAGGCAUUGUCCCCUAGCUUGUGCAGCAGUCGCUCCUGUAGGACUGUGAGGGGCCCCUGAGGGCUGCUGGAUUCAGCUGGGACCACUUGCAGGGUCUGCACAUACAGAUCUUUUCGGAACGUCAGACCAAUCACUUCCAAGUCAUCACGGCCAUAGCGAAAGGCACAUGUCAACAUGACAAACACUGUGGGCAUAGGAGGAAGAGAGUGGUCUGUCAGGCCUGAGUGGGAAGGGGAAUCUUAACUGGGUCAAGAAGACACAGAGAGGUGAUGUAAUAUGAUUGAAGGCUGGCUGGGCGCAGUGGCUCACGCCUGUAAUCCCAGCACUUUGGGAGGCCGAGGCGGGUGGAUCACGAGGUCAGGAGAUAGAAACCAUCCUGGCUAACACAGUGAAACCCCGUCUCUACUAAAAAAAAAUACAAAAUAUUAACCUGGCUUGGUGGUGGGUGCCCGUAGUCCCAGCUACUUGGGAGGCUGAGGCAGGAGAAUGGCAUGAACCCAGGAGGCGGAGCUUGCAGUGAGCCGAGAUUGUGUCACUGCCCUCCAGCCUGGGUGACAGAGCAAGACUCCGUCUCAAAAAAAAAAAAAAAAAAAAGAUUGAAGGCUAUGGGCACAAAUGAAAAGAUUCUUAAUACAUUUGACUGCAGUAAGAUUUAUGUUAAAAGUCUUUAUAAACCAAGUCUUCUUUAUAUUCAAAGUCUUUAUAAACAAAGAAAAAAAUGGAAAGCCUGGGAGAAAAUCUUUGCAACACAUAUAACACACUGAAGUUUAGCGUCCAAAAUAUAUAAGGACUCCCACACAUCAACAAUAAUACCAGUAUAAAAGUGUGCAAAGAAUGUGAAUAAGCCCUUGCAGAAGUGUGCAAAGAAUGUGAAGGAAUGGCCAAUAACAUAUGAAAACAUGUUUAGUCUCAUGAGUAAUCAGAUAAAUGCAAAUUAAAACCACAAUGAGGUGAGAUUUCACACACAUCAGAUUGUCAAAAAAUUUUAAAUCUGACAACACUACGUGUUGAUGAAGAUGUGAAGCAAAAGGAGUUCUUACAUACUGCUGGCGGGAGUAUUAAUGCAACCAAUUUGGAAGACUAUUUGGGAUUAUCCAGUAAAAUUAAAUCUGCUCGUAGUGUAUGACCUAAUAAGUUGACUUUAAAGGAGCUUUUGUUCAGGAGAGAUACAUAUGGUAAUGGCCAUCGCAUCAACAUUUGUCAGAACAUAAAACUGGAGAUAAUCUAAAAAUCUAUCAACAGGAGAAUGGAUAAAAAAUGUGUGGUAUAUUCACAUAAUGGAAUACUAAACCAAGGUUAAAAUAAAUGAACUAGAACUUCAAAGAAUGCCCUAUGGUUUGUAUGUGGCCUCUCCAUAACUCAGGAGUUGAAACUUGAUGGCCAUUGUGAUGGUAUUAAGAUGGCCAUUAAGAGGUGAUUAGAUCAUGGGGCUUCUUUGUUCAUGAAUUCCUUUAUGAAUGGGAUUAAGACCCUUAUAAAGGAGACCUUUUGCCCUUCCACCAUGUGAGGACACAAUGUUUCUCCCCUCCGGAGGAUGCAGCAAUAAGGCACCAUCUUGGAAGCAGAGAGCAGCCAUCAUCAGACAACAGAACCUGCUAGAGCCUUGAUCUUGGACUUCCCAGCUUUCAGAAUUGUGAGAA
Pongo pygmaeus (Bornean orangutan) is the source of this 3142-nucleotide RNA transcript. It is a transcript of the gene named PDZ domain containing 11, with no coding region annotated. The record is from RefSeq and is a predicted model, not a curated record. The transcript has 11 exons. NCBI's taxonomy places the organism in Eukaryota, Metazoa, Chordata, Mammalia, Primates, Hominidae.